This 676-nucleotide long non-coding RNA is filed under the name Homo sapiens (human). RNAcentral's name for it is "non-protein coding lnc-GLIS3-3:1". The record is from RNAcentral. Lineage: Eukaryota; Metazoa; Chordata; Mammalia; Primates; Hominidae.
CGGAUUGUGCAGAGUCAUCUGGGCACAUCCAGAGCUUUGAAGUGCUUCAUAAUAUGGUAAAUAUUGCAAGUCAACAGCUAUCUAGAUUGCAAUAUAAAUAAGGUUGAUGAUGACAAAAUAUUUUAGUACAAAGACAUCAGUUUAACUGAAGAAGUCAUAGCUAUCAGGCCUCACCAUGACUAGGAUGAAAGAUCCUUCAAGACUGCCUGCCACCUCCGCCCUGAUUCUACAUUCCCCUCAGGAACCUUCUGGCUAUUAAUUUGGCUUCCCAAUUAUUCUGAAACCAGAAAGGGAUAAAAAUAACAAUAUGAAGGAUGUAUUGUGCAAAUCUUUUUAAAAGCCUGCAAAACAGCAGAAAGAAAUCAAUUAGAAUUGCCAUGGCAACUACCAACAAUUUUAUAUGCAAGAACGAAAUAAAAUAAGAAAAGUAACAAAAUAGAAAAUGCAUAAACCGAUUCAAAUACCAUGAAGUGUUUAUGAAGUAAACACUGUAGAGUGAAGCUACAUGAAAAUAGAUUUCAUUAAGGUAAAUGAAACAUAGUUUAACUCUUCAUUACAAAUGAGCGAGGUAUAGAUCAUGAAAUAAACUAUUAUUGAUAAACUCUUAAUGAUAUAGUUUUUUAGUUAAAACAAUUUUUGGAAAACAAGUUUAGACAGAUCAGAAGAGUAAAUUAAA